Molecule: long non-coding RNA, 2060 nt
Organism: Apis cerana (Asiatic honeybee)
Lineage: Eukaryota; Metazoa; Arthropoda; Insecta; Hymenoptera; Apidae
Source: RefSeq, a predicted model, not a curated record
AAGUCGCCACUCGAGAGGGAAGAGAGAGAGAGAGAGAGAGAGGUGCGCGUUUCGAGCGUAUCAAGGCCAAGGUUUAUUAGCGUCGGAUCAGUUUCAGAAGCCAGGCUUAGGUGUCAAGUGGUCGCAAGUGGUCUGAAGUGGUGCUCGUAAAACGCGAAUAUAAACGACGGACGGCCGGUCGAAAGUGUUGCCGUCUGCUGCGGCGGCGGCUCCGCUUUUGCCUCACUUUGUCCUUUGCUCCUUUGCUCGCGCUGCUCCAUUCCCGCCAACUUUUUCCCACCACCACCACCACCGCCACCACCGCUAUAUUUAGUCUGUCAACACGUAGAUAGAUCGAAGAUGCGAGAGCGAGAACGCGUAACGCGUUUCCCUUCCCUUCCCUUUCCGAAUUUUGCCUCGCCACUUAACUACCUAACGUAAUGAAACCGCGACAAUGAGAAUAUUUUCGUAUUUAGGUCAAACGCGUCAAAGGCUGUGAAAUAUUGGCCGACGGUAAGGAAAUUAAUCGAUGGUAUAGUUUCCGUCACCACCGUCACCAGCAACACUAUCUCUUAAAUCGAUAUAACGGAGGAGUGUACGUACGUACUUACGUGCGAGCAGUCCGAUAACGCUUGGUCGGAUAGCACAGCGGAUAGAAAGAACGGCGGACGGCUGGAAGGCGAUGGAAAAUUCAUGGCCGACGCACGGUUUGGAAUACCGUUUCCAACGGCCGUUCAUUAUCGAGGGUGGAAGAGGAAGAGCUCCCCUUCUGCUCGAGCGAUUUCGGUAGCCGAGUGGACGCGGCCGAUGCCACCACGAUUUUCGCAAUAAUUUCAACAGUUGCGGCGCGGAGAGAACUCGAAACCGGUAUCCGAGCGUGGAACUUGAAGAGGUUGCCGAUCAUCUCCAGUCCGCCCUUCUCCCGAUCGGUCCAAAAUCGACGAGGAUGACUGCAAAAAGAAAAGAGGAAAGGAAGGAAGAUAUCGGAAUCCCUCGAAAUGAAGCGACGAUGCGGUGAAGAAAAGAGGAAUGGCGGAGAAAAACCCGAGAUGUAGAAAUCCCGUUACCAUAAAGGCUACGAAAUUGGAAGCCGUAGCAGCAGUUUGGAAGGGAGAGAAUAGCGCGGGAACAAAGAUCGUGUUCCAGCCGGGUUGUCCUACUUGAAGAAUAUUCUUAAACUUGGGUGGGCGCACGUGCUACGAACUCUCAUAAAUUAGAGAUGCUCGAUCGGCCAAUUAAUACGAUGUUUCCAGUGGCGUACGAUCGGCGGAGGAUCUCGGAGGAGAAAGCGUGGAGAGGAAGGAGAGUGUAUCGGGCGUCUGGGGAUCGAAAUCGAGGGAGGACUGAAACGGUUGGCGCGCGGGGCCCGAUUGGCAGGAAUGGAGAGAGGGACGAAAAUUAUUGGUCAAAUACUGAGAAAGCGGCAGCGCGUACGUACAUCAGACGCGUGACGCCGCUGGCAUAAAUUAAAUUAGCAUAAUUUCGAGUUGUCGAGCAACAAAGUGAAAAAUGCCGCGACACGCCGUGGGAACAACCUGGUCUCGAUACGAUUUCGAUUACCUUUCGAUUACUCGCGAAUUACCCCGGGACACGUGAAAUUGAUUCGAUUAGCGGAUUCAACUUGUCUUCGAAUCGAGAGAACGAUUAUAGGUCGUAUAUGUAGAAUGGAGCUGGUCGACGAACCGUGCCUCCUCCACGAUCGCUGCUGCAUUUUCGUUGCAGGGAAAAAGAGAAUUUGCCAGAUUGAUGAGAACGAUAAAUGCAAGUGUGCCCGUUGAAGGAUAUUUGCGAUCAGUGGAAAGAUUAUUAUUGUUAAUUAAAGAAUGUGUGAUAUGAAUUAUUAUAUGUGCAAUUUGUAAAUCUUUUGCCUUAUUUAUAUACGAAUAAAUAUUAUGUAACUUAGUUAUGUAACUUCGUAAGUUUACGCAUUACGUAUAUGUCAGGCGUAUUCUGAUAAUGUUAAUCUUUUCUGGAAAUGUAUAUGAAGCUUAAAUCGUUUUUAAAUCGUCACUUUUAAACGGAAUUGUAUAUAUCUCGAUGCAGCAAUGUAAUAAAAAAUUAUUAAAUCAUUUGUAACGGCA